Molecule: ribosomal RNA, 3672 nt
Filed under: Candidatus Thermoflexus japonica
Lineage: Bacteria; Bacillati; Chloroflexota; Thermoflexia; Thermoflexales; Thermoflexaceae
Description: bacterial LSU rRNA
Rfam family: Bacterial large subunit ribosomal RNA (bases 3-2135)
Source: RNAcentral
UAAGCGAGUAAGGGCAUGCGGUGGAUGCCUUGGCGCCAGGGGCCGAUGAAGGGCGCGGCACACUGCGAAAAGCCUCGGGGAGCCGUGUGCGGGCGUUAUGACCCGGGGGUGCCCGAAUGGGGAAACCCGCCUGGGGUGAACCCCAGGCAUCCGUGGCUGAAUCCAUAGGCCACGGAGGGGCACGGGGGGAACUGAAACAUCUUAGUACCCCCAGGAAAAGAAAUCAACCGAGAUUCCCCAAGUAGUGGCGAGCGAACGGGGAAGAGCCUAAACCCACAGGGUGUCAAAGCCCGAGGGCGUUGUCCUGUGGGGGUUGUGGGACCCAUCCGGAGGCGGCCUCGGACGCCUCAGGGAGUUACCAAGCCUUGGCCUAGCCGAAGCGGUCUGGAAAGGCCCGCCAUAGAGGGUGAUAGCCCCGUAGGCGAAAGGUCGAAGGCCUCCCGGGGAUGGGAUCCCGAGUACCACGGCCCACGGGGAAGGUCGUGGGAAGCAGGGGGGACCACCCUCCAAGGCUAAAUACCCCUGGCGACCGAUAGCGCACCAGUACCGUGAGGGAAAGGUGAAAAGAACCCCGGUGAGGGGAGUGAAAUAGAACCUGAAACCGCAUGCCUACAAGCGGUCCGAGGGCUAUGGCCCCUUCGGGGGCAAUGCCUGAGGGCGUGCCUUUUGGAGAAUGAGCCGGCGAGUUACUCUCGGUGGCGAAGGCUAAGGGGGUCACACCCGGAGCCGGAGCGAAAGCGAGUCCGAACAGGGCGUCCCGUCGCCGGGAGUAGACGCGAAACCGGGUGAGCUACCCAUGGCCAGGGUGAAGCGGGGCUAAUCCCCCGUGGAGGCCCGAACCCAUCACCAGUGCAAAGGUGUGGGAUGAGCUGUGGGUAGGGGUGAUAUGCCAAUCGAACCCGGAGAUAGCUCGUUCUCCCCGAAAUAGCUUUAGGGCUAGCCUCACGCGGUCCGUGGCGGAGGUAGAGCACUGGUAGGGCUAGGGGCGUUAUGCUACCGAACCCUGUCAAACUCCGAAUGCCGCCACGUGCAGCGUGGGAGUCGGACCGUGGGGGAUAACCUCCAUGGUCGAGAGGGGAACAACCCAGACCGCCUGCUAAGGCCCCCAAGUCCGGGCUCAGUGGGAAAGGAUGUGGGGCUGCUGUGACAGCCAGGAGGUUGGCUUAGAAGCAGCCAUCCUUUAAAGAGUGCGUAACAGCUCACUGGUCGAGCGGCCCUGCGCCGAAAAUGUAACGGGGCUCAAGCCCGGCGCCGAAGCAGCGGGCUCCCGCGUCGAUGAGGCACGGGAGCGGUAGGGGAGCGUUCCGCACGCGUGGAAGCGCGACCGUGAGGACGCGUGGAGCGUGCGGAAGUGAGAAUGCCGGCACGAGUAGCGGAAGACGCGUGAGAACCGCGUCCGCCGAAGGCCUAAGGUUUCCGACGCAAGGUCGAUCCGCGUCGGGUUAGGCGGGACCUAAGGCGAGGCCGAAAGGCGUAGCCGAUGGACAGCCGGUUAAUAUUCCGGCCCCACCCGGGUGGAGCGAAGGGGGGACGCAGGAGGGUAGGCCAGCCGGCCGCUGGCAGCGCCGGUGCCAAGUCCUUAGGGCGAUGAAGGCGGCAGGCAAAUCCGCCGCCGGAGCCUGAGGGAUGAUGGCGAGCCGGGGAAACCCGGCGGAAGUGGUCGAGCCCACACUGCCGAGAAAAGCCUCUAAGCGUUGAAGCCCGGGUGCCCGUACCGCAAACCGACACCGGUAGGCUGGCGUAAGCGCGCCAAGGCGGACGGGAGAACCCUCCUCAGGGAACUCGGCAAACUGACCCCGUAACUUCGGGAGAAGGGGUGCCUCGCGUAGGGUGAGGCCUUCGGGCCGAGCCCGAGGAGGCCGCAGUGAACAGGCCCUGGCGACUGGUUACCUAAACCACAGGUCUCUGCUAACCCGUAAGGGGAUGUAUAGGGGCCGACGCCUGCCCAGUGCCGGAAGGUUAAGGGGAGGGGUGACCCGGCUUCGGCCGGUGUAGCCCUGAACUGAAGCCCCGGUGAACGGCGGCCGUAACUAUAACGGUCCUAAGGUAUCGCCGGAAAGGCGCUGCCUGCCUGUCGGGUAACCGACAGGGCAAUACCCGGCUGUAUGCGGGAAAGCCCUGAGAGCCCUCCCUACGUCUCCGGCGGAAGGCCGGCGUCAAAAUGGUGAGGGAUUGGGUAACCCGCAGGAAACCCCCGGGAUCACUCCCGGAGGGGAUCCUCAGAGACCAUACGCCGGGCAUCCGGUCAGGAGGCCAUCCUAUGGAGCUGUCGCCGGACUGGGUGGUGGGGUUUGUGGAUGGCGAAGGUUGUUUCCAUAUUUCCAUCAUCCGCCACCCUUCUAUGAAGGUCGGCUAUCAGGUGUUGCCGGAGUUCGUGGUCGUCCAGCACCGCCGCGAUGUGCAGGUGCUCUAUGCCUUGAAACGGUUCUUCCGGUGUGGUGUGGUUCGCCCCAAUCACGAAGAUCGCUACGCUUACCGGGUCCGGCGGCUGGAGUGCCUGGAGCGCAUCUGUGAGUUCUUUUUCCAGCACCCCUUGAAAACUCGGAAGAACGUCGAGAUGCGCCGCUUCUGGAAGGUCCUCCUCCUGAUGAGGGAGGGGCGACAUCGGACCCGAGAGGGAUUGCUGGAGAUCCUCGAAAUCGCGGCACGCAUGAACUCGGCCGACCGUCCGGCCCUGGAACGGAUCCGCCAGGAGCUCCUGACCGGAUGAAGAGAUGGCCCACCCCGCAGCGAAAGCUGUGGAACACGGUGAGCGAAAUUCCUUGUCGGGUAAGUGAGAACUUGCCCCUUCGUCCCGUGAGGGACGAUGAAAAGCCGGCUCAUAUCGGGGGAGCCCUCCUGCUACUGUGCGGGUGGCGUGGGGUAACCCCGAGGGAAGUCAGCCCAACCUUUAGGUUGGGCUUGACCCCGUAACGACUGACCCGAAAGGGGAGGCGCGGUUUCCCACCCCGCGCAAAACGCCGGCCCUCACCCCUUGCCCUCAACCUGGGCAAGAAGGAAGCAUCUAUGGAGCCUCUUUCCGAACGAGGUGGGGUGAAAUGUCUCCGCUUGACCCAUGGUAUGUAACCGGCCUGGUGGAUGGUGAGGGUUGUUUCAUGGUGAGCUUCAAUCUCCGAUCUUCGCUGUCCACGGGCAUCGAAGUCCGCCCCGCUUUUGCCGUGGCAUUGAAUCGGCGGUCGCUGGAAGUCUUGAAGAAGCUACACCGAUUCUUCGGCUGUGGAGCCAUCCGAUAUUCUCGGAGUGACCGCACCUAUAAGUGGGAGGUGCGUUCUGUCCCGGAUAUCGUUCGGCGAGUGCUCCCCCACUUUGAGCGCUACCCCCUCCAAACGGCAAAGCGGGAGGACUUCGAGCGAUUCGCUCAGAUUUGCCGGUGGGUUUAUGCGAACCAUCACCGAAACCGCGAAUGCCUAAAGCGCAUCAUAGAGUUGGCCUACGAGAUGAACCCAAGCGGCAAACGCCGUUAUCGGAAAGAGGAACUCCUAAGGGUGCUUGGGUGAGGUGAAGGGAUAGUCUGCCGCCAGCGGAAACGCUGGGGAAAAGGUGAAGUUCCGACCCGCACGAAAGGCGUAACGACCGGGGCGCUGUCCCGAGGAGGGUCCCGGCGAAACUGCGAACUGCGUGAAGACGCGCAGUGCCCGCAGCGGGACAAAAAGACCCCGUGGAGCUUUACUG